RNAcentral lists this ribosomal RNA (582 nucleotides) under uncultured archaeon. RNAcentral's name for it is "bacterial SSU rRNA". It matches the Rfam family "Bacterial small subunit ribosomal RNA", at positions 392 to 993 of the family's 1533-position model. The record is from RNAcentral.
UGAUGCCGCGUGAGUGAAGAAGGCCUUUGGGUUGUAAAGCUCUUUUGUAGGGGAAGAUAAUGACUGUACCCUAAGAAUAAGGUCCGGCUAACUUCGUGCCAGCAGCCGCGGUAAUACGAAGGGACCUAGCGUAGUUCGGAAUUACUGGGCGUAAAGCGCGCGUAGGCCGUUGAGUUAGUUAAUUGUGAAAUCCCAAAGCUUAACUUUGGAACUGCAAUUAAAACUGCUCGACUAGAGUUUGAUAGAGGAAAGCGGAAUACAUAGUGUAGAGGUGAAAUUCGUAGAUAUUAUGUAGAACACCAGUUGCGAAGGCGGCUUUCUGGGUCAACACUGACGCUGAGGCGCGAAAGUAUGGGUAGCAAAGAGGAUUAGAUACCCUCGUAGUCCAUACCAUAAACGAUGAUUGCUAGAUGUUGGAAAUUUAUUUUCAGUAUCGCAGCUAACGCAUUAAGCAAUCCGCCUGGGGAGUACGAACGCAAGGUUAAAACUCAAAUGAAUUGACGGGGACCCGAACAAGCGGUGGAGCAUGUGGUUUAAUUCCGAAGAUACGCGCAGAAACUUACCAACCCUUGACAUGUCUGU